Molecule: ribosomal RNA, 477 nt
Filed under: uncultured bacterium
Lineage: Bacteria
Description: partial 16S ribosomal RNA
Rfam family: Bacterial small subunit ribosomal RNA
Source: RNAcentral
GACGAACGCUGGCGGCGUGCUUAACACAUGCAAGUCGAACGGUAAGGCCCUUCGGGGUACACGAGUGGCGAACGGGUGAGUAACACGUGGGUGAUCUGCCCUGCACUUCGGGAUAAGCCUGGGAAACUGGGUCUAUACCGGAUAGGACCACUGCCUGCAUGGGUGGUGGUGGAAAGCUUUUGCGGUGUGGGAUGGGCCCGCGGCCUAUCAGCUUGUUGGUGGGGUGAUGGCCUACCAAGGCGACGACGGGUAGCCGGCCUGAGAGGGUGACCGGCCACACUGGGACUGAGAUACGGCCCAGACUCCUACGGGAGGCAGCAGUGGGGAAUAUUGCACAAUGGGCGCAAGCCUGAUGCAGCGACGCCGCGUGAGGGAUGACGGCCGUCGGGUUGUAAACCUCUUUCAGCACCGACGAAGCGCAAGUGACGGUAGGUGCAGAAGAAGGACCGACCAACUACGUGCCAGCCGCCGCGGUAA